UUAUUUAUAAAAUAAUAAGUGAGACUUAUUAUUAAUUAAAUAAUUAAAUAUGACUUUAUUAUUUAAUUUACGAAAAAUAGAGAAACGCGGUCCACCGUAAGGUACGGUGUAUUUAAGUGUUGUCUUGUUGUCCACACAAGUGAUUCUAUAAAUAGAACCCUUGUGUUGAAGCAUUACUAACUUUUUGUGAGUGCUUAACCUAAUUCACAAAAGUUGUGAAACCCUAGCCGCCGCUCUCUAAACCUUGUUCUCUCUGAAUCUUCGUUGGAAUUGGCUAGCACCGGUCAUCGGAGAAGUUCUGUUCGUGUGGACUGAGUAGAGGCAUCGCUGCUUUGCUUUGCUCGUGAUCAGAAAUAUUUCUUCUACAAAGGUUCUGCUCUUCAAGAGGUAAACACAUGAAUCUUAAAGUGUUUAAGUUUCUGUUUGAUUUGUGAUUAAUAAUUUAAUCAAGAUCCGUUUCAAUGGGAUUU
Molecule: long non-coding RNA, 470 nt
Filed under: Medicago truncatula (barrel medic)
Lineage: Eukaryota; Viridiplantae; Streptophyta; Magnoliopsida; Fabales; Fabaceae
Description: long non-coding RNA (MTRU_LNC002031)
Source: RNAcentral